AACGAACGCUGGCGGCGUGGAUAAGACAUGCAAGUCGAACGGGAACUUCAGCUGUAGCAAUACAGUUGAAGUUUUUAGUGGCGAACGGGUGCGUAACACGUGGGCAAUCUGCCGAGAAGUGGGGGAUAGCUCGCCGAAAGGCGAAUUAAUACCGCAUAUGAUCAGCUAAGACAUCUUAGCGACAUCAAAGCCGGGGCAACCUGGCGCUUUUUGAGGAGCCCGCGGCCUAUCAGCUAGUUGGUGAGGUAACGGCUCACCAAGGCUAUGACGGGUAGCUGGUCUGAGAGGACGACCAGUCACACUGGAACUGAGACACGGUCCAGACACCUACGGGUGGCAGCAGUCGAGUAAUUUUUCUCAAUGGGGCAACCCUGAAGGAGCGACGCCGCGUGGA
RNAcentral lists this ribosomal RNA (394 nucleotides) under uncultured bacterium. Its description in RNAcentral is "bacterial SSU rRNA". It matches the Rfam family "Bacterial small subunit ribosomal RNA", at positions 29 to 405 of the family's 1533-position model. The record is from RNAcentral.